This 253-nucleotide ribosomal RNA is filed under the name uncultured bacterium. Its description in RNAcentral is "partial 16S ribosomal RNA". It matches the Rfam family "Bacterial small subunit ribosomal RNA", at positions 524 to 776 of the family's 1533-position model. The record is from RNAcentral.
UACGUAGGGUGCAAGCGUUAAUCGGAAUUACUGGGCGCAAAGCGUGCGCAGGCGGUGAUGUAAGACAGGUGUGAAAUCCCCGGGCUUAACCUGGGAACUGCAUUUGAGACUGCUCUGCUCGGGUGCGGAAGAGGGAAGCGGAAUUUCCGGUGUAGCGGUGAAAUGCGUAGAUAUCGGAAGGAACACCAGUGGCGAAAGCGGCUUCCUGGUCCGACACCGACGUUCAGGCACGAAAGCGUGGGGAGCAAACAGG